RNAcentral lists this ribosomal RNA (1228 nucleotides) under Concoctio concenta. Its description in RNAcentral is "eukaryotic LSU rRNA". It matches the Rfam family "Eukaryotic large subunit ribosomal RNA", at positions 44 to 944 of the family's 3401-position model. The record is from RNAcentral. Lineage: Eukaryota; Metazoa; Arthropoda; Insecta; Hymenoptera; Formicidae.
UAUUAAGCGGAGGAAAAGAAACUAACCAGGAUUUCCUCAGUAGCGGCGAGCGAACAGGAAAGAGCCCAGCACCGAAUCCCGCGGUUCCGCCGCAGGGAAAUGUGGUGUUCGGGAGGAUCCGCUUAUCCCGAGGCGUCGGAUCGCGUCCAAGUCCAUCUUGAAUGGGGCCACUUACCCGCAGAGGGUGCCAGGCCCGUAGCGACCGGUACGCGCCUCGGGAGGAUCUCUCCUUAGAGUCGGGUUGCUUGAGAGUGCAGCUCUAAGUGGGUGGUAAACUCCAUCUAAGGCUAAAUACGACCACGAGACCGAUAGCGAACAAGUACCGUGAGGGAAAGUUGAAAAGAACUUUGAAGAGAGAGUUCAAGAGUACGUGAAACCGUUCAGGGGUAAACCUAAGAAACCCAAAAGAUCGAACGGGGAGAUUCAUCGUCAGCGGCGUUGGCUUCGCGUCGGUGGGCGAUGUCCCGCGCGCGGGUUCGCUCUCGCGCGCGGGCACGCUGCCGUGCGCGCACGUCCGACGUCGUCGUCGUGCACUUCUCCCCUAGUAGGACGUCGCGACCCGCUGGGUGUCGGUCUACGGUCCGAGUGCGGUGUCUGUCGCGUCGCCGGUAAAACGGCACGCGGCAAACCCUCGGUCGCCCGGCCGGCUGCCCGGCGGUACUCGCACGGUAUCAGGCCGCAAAAUUUCGAGCACUCCUCGAAACGCUUUGCGUCAAGCCCGUCGCAAGCGCGCGCCACGGUAAACCGGAGGUUACGGACCCAGCGCCGUCCCCGGUCCUGGCCCGCUGUUGGCCGACGGUGACCCUUUGACAGGCCUUGAACCGGGGGCGCGGCGCGCCUCGCGCGCGCCGCGCUCUCGAUACCGGUCGGCGACGCUACUGCUUUGGGUACUCUUAGGACCCGUCUUGAAACCCGCCCAAGGAGUCUAACAUGUGCGCGAGUCAUUGGGACUAGCAAAACCUAAAGGCGAAAUGAAAGUGAAGGUCGGCCUCGGCGCCGACCGAGGGAAGAUGGGCCGCGUCGCGAUGCGGCCUCGCACUCCCGGGGCGUCUCGUUCUCAUCGCGAGAAGAGGCGCACCAAGAGCGUACACGUUGGGACCCGAAAGAUGGUGAACUAUGCCUGGUCAGGACGAAGUCAGGGGAAACCCUGAUGGAGGUCCGUAGCGAUUCUGACGUGCAAAUCGAUCGUCGGAACUGGGUAUAGGGGCGAAAGACUAAUCGAACCAUC